GCUUACACAUGCAAGUCGAACGCGAAAGUUUUCUUUCGGGAAAUGAGUAGAGUGGCGCACGGGUGAGUAACGCGUAAGUAAUCUACCCUGGUAUUUGGGAUAACCCACCGAAAGGUGUGCUAAUACCGAAUACGCUGAUUUAUCAGGAAAGGUGGCCUCUUCAUGAAAGCUACUGUACCAGGAGGAGCUUGCGUACCAUUAGCUAGUUGGUAGGGUAAAGGCCUACCAAGGCGACGAUGGUUAGCGGGUCUGAGAGGAUGAUCCGCCACACUGGAACUGAAACACGGACCAGACUCCUACGGGAGGCAGCAGUGAGGAAUAUUGCGCAAUGGGGGAAACCCUGACGCAGCGACGCCGCGUGGAUGAUGAAGGCUUUCGGGUCGUAAAAUCCUGUCAGAUGGGAAGAAGUGUAUAUCUGCUAAUACCAGGUAUAUUUGACGGUACCAUCAAAGGAAGCACCGGCUAACUCCGUGCCAGCAGCCGCGGUAAUACGGAGGGUGCAAGCGUUGUUCGGAAUUACUGGGCGUAAAGCGCGCGUAGGCGGCUUUUUAAGUCAGAUGUGAAAGUCCACGGCUCAACCGUGGAAGUGCAUUUGAAACUGGGGAGCUUGAGUAUUGGAGGGGGUGGUGGAAUUCCCGGUGUAGAGGUGAAAUUCGUAGAUAUCGGGAGGAAUACCGGUGGCGAAGGCGACCACCUGGCCAAAUACUGACGCUGAGGUGCGAAAGCGUGGGGAGCAACCAGGAUUAGAUACCCUGGUAGUCCACGCCGUAAACGAUGUGAACUAGGUGUUGGGAUGGUUAAUCGUCUCAUUGCCGCAGCUAACGCAUUAAGUUCACCGCCUGGGGAGUACGGUCGCAAGAUUAAAACUCAAAGAAAUUGACGGGGGCCCGCACAAGCGGUGGAGUAUGUGGUUUAAUUCGACGCAACGCGCAGAACCUUACCUGGUCUUGACAUCCCGGGAAUCUUUAGGAACUAGAGAGUGCCU
RNAcentral lists this ribosomal RNA (985 nucleotides) under Desulfobulbaceae bacterium enrichment culture clone MS_ANT_U4. Its description in RNAcentral is "bacterial SSU rRNA". It matches the Rfam family "Bacterial small subunit ribosomal RNA", at positions 46 to 1019 of the family's 1533-position model. Lineage: Bacteria; Pseudomonadati; Thermodesulfobacteriota; Desulfobulbia; Desulfobulbales; Desulfobulbaceae. The record is from RNAcentral.